This 606-nucleotide ribosomal RNA is filed under the name Triticum aestivum (bread wheat). Its description in RNAcentral is "partial small subunit ribosomal RNA". The record is from RNAcentral. Lineage: Eukaryota; Viridiplantae; Streptophyta; Magnoliopsida; Poales; Poaceae.
AUGGGCACCUCUUGGGAUCCUGGCGGACCGACAUGCUUGAUGUUACUGGAAUUGACUCGACAAGCGUCCUAUGAAGGAGGGAGGAGCGUCAUCAUUGUCGUCAUCGUCUUCACACAAAGCUCCAUCGACUGCAAGUGCUACCUCGACUUCAACCGCGACGGUGCCGACAACGACUACGACGCCUUCUUCGACGGGAUUUUCAUCGGCCACAACAACUACCUCUCCAUCGUUGCAGUCUACCUCGACUUCAGCUACCGCAACGGCUCCAACCAAGCCUGGGAACAUCGAGCGCCAUGGGAUCCAGGAGAUCCUCGGCGGCGUUGGCUUGAGGUCAAGCCGAGUCUCAUCCAGGGAGGGAUGUCGGUGACUAGAUCGUGCCGGGUCCUCAAGUCAGCGAAGAAGCAACGCGCGGUGCACGACCGAGCAUGUGCUCCCGUCCCCCAGAUACUCGCUACCGGCUUGAGGGCAAGCCGGCUUUCAAGGGGGAGGGGAUGUCAGCCCCCUUUCCAGUCAUGGGCUGAGAGUGAUGGGCUAGGCCCAGCCGGCUCCCUACGGCAACAACUACAAGUAGGAGGGCCAAAGCAUCAGGCGAAGGUAUCCGCGUAG